GGGGCUGUGGCUCAGUGGUAGAGCGCUUGUCUCUCAUGUGUAAGGUCAAGGGUUCGAUCCUCAGCACCA
RNAcentral lists this transfer RNA (69 nucleotides) under Ictidomys tridecemlineatus (thirteen-lined ground squirrel). RNAcentral describes it as "Spermophilus tridecemlineatus (thirteen-lined ground squirrel) tRNA". It matches the Rfam family "tRNA". Rfam says of the family: Transfer RNA (tRNA) molecules are approximately 80 nucleotides in length. Their secondary structure includes four short double-helical elements and three loops (D, anti-codon, and T loops). The record is from Rfam by way of RNAcentral. Lineage: Eukaryota; Metazoa; Chordata; Mammalia; Rodentia; Sciuridae.